AGCGAAACCGCGAGGUCAAGCAAAUCCCAUAAAGUUGUUCUCAGUUCGGAUUGUAGUCUGCAACUCGACUACAUGAAGCUGGAAUCGCUAGUAAUCGUAGAUCAGCAUGCUACGGUGAAUACGUUCCCGGGUCUUGUACACACCGCCCGUCACACCACGAGAGUUUGUAACACCCGAAGCCGGUGGAGUAACCUUUUAGGAGCUAGCCGUCGAAGGUGGGACAAAUGAUUGGGGUGAAGUCGUAACAAGGUAGCCGUAUCGGAAGGUGCGGCUGGAUCACCUCCUUU
Molecule: non-coding RNA, 287 nt
Filed under: Staphylococcus aureus
Lineage: Bacteria; Bacillati; Bacillota; Bacilli; Caryophanales; Staphylococcaceae
Description: partial 16S ribosomal RNA
Rfam family: Bacterial small subunit ribosomal RNA
Source: RNAcentral